RNAcentral lists this long non-coding RNA (1537 nucleotides) under Marmota monax (woodchuck). The record is from RNAcentral. Lineage: Eukaryota; Metazoa; Chordata; Mammalia; Rodentia; Sciuridae.
AUUACAAUGUAUAUGUAUUUUCUCCUUUUGUAAAAAAUACCUUGGUUUACUUAAAAAGUAUUAAAUUGCUUCUUUUAUAUAGUGAUAAUUUAUUUUUAAAAAUUCUUUUAACUGACAUGAUAAUAUAUAAAAAAUCUAAUAAAAGAGUAUUUGAUGAUGUUAAACCAUUAAAAUUGUUAGUUUGUUGUCGUUGUAUAGAAGUCAGUCUAUCUUAGCUAGCCAUCUUGCUUUUGUAGGUACAUCUGUGAAAUAGAAUGCUUCAGUAAGGCUCCAGGGGUCAGUAGACAAAAUAACAGGGGAGUUUUGAAAUCUACGUAAGACAUCCAUAUCUUUACUAGUUUCCCUUUAGUUCAAAGGGAAGUGUGGACUGGGAAAGUGGGGAUCAGAGACCAAGUGGGAAGGGUGAGUGCUCCACCAUGACCACUGAGUCUUCAUUUAAUUGCCCCAGCGACCAGAGGUGGAUUCCUCCCUCUCCUCCUAAUUCACAUAAUCCUCAUGCUCCAAUUAUUGCAUCCUCACUCAUAUAACCUUUAGAGGAAGAGAGAAAGGAAAGAAUGGAAGGGAAAAAUAGUUCUUUCUCCUUCCGCAAUAGAAUAAUCUUUCCCACAAGAUCCUUGCUCCCAACUGUUUCCCUUUGACUUUAUAAAAUUUACUUAUUAGUUACUAUCAAUUAUAAUGCAUAUGUAAUUGUUUAGAACAGGGUCAUCUGCCCACUUUUAGACAGAUCGUGACUCAUCAUUGGCAUUUUUAGUUGAAAUCCCUGUGCAGACAAAAACUGAUGUUCUUUUGACAAGAAACAUGAGUGGUUAGCUGUUGGGUAAAAAGUGAAUGCUGACCGUCACUCAUGUCUUGAAUUAGGUUUUACUAAAUUACAACUCUUCUCUCCAGACCUGAGCUCAACCCUAGACCGGACUGCAACUGCAACAUUUGUGAUUACAGUGGUUGGUGUGGGCAUCUCAGUAAACUUGCUGCCAUGAAAAAGAGGAAAUCAUCUGUUUAUUCUCAUCAGCCACAUUUUCUGGGCUAGGAAACAUCUAACCUAUCCUGAAUGUCAAGGUAGCACUUGUGCCUGCUCAAGGUAGUUGAUGAUUGUUUCGAUCAGUGGAAAGGGUCAAACAAAUAUUAACUUCUCAGAGUUUUCACUCCUAACAAAUUUUCUUCCAUGGUCAAAGUGGCAAGGGUUUCAUUCAGUGGACUGGAUGCAAUAACAGUCAAUAAAAUGACAAAAGCUUUUAAUUACAAGCAAAAUUAAUCCCUAGACGGAUCAGUUUUCUUACUUUUAAUGAAAGUAUCGAAUUCAGUCAUGAUUAUACAGGUAUGGAAAUUUGGGUUAUGUCCUUAAUAGUCUUUCUAGUUCCUUCUUUCUUCAUAGGCUUCACUUGUUUGAAAACUUCAAAUGCCAAAGUGAAAAAUGAAAGGGAUCAAAUCAUUGUUUUAAAGUGUCUCUUUUCUUGACUAGUACUAGAGUGUCAGGAGGAUGAUCACUUACCUCUUACUGAGUGGGGUGGGUGCUCUAUUUGGCCUUUUACAAAUAUUG